This 426-nucleotide ribosomal RNA is filed under the name uncultured bacterium. Its description in RNAcentral is "bacterial SSU rRNA". It matches the Rfam family "Bacterial small subunit ribosomal RNA", at positions 354 to 796 of the family's 1533-position model. The record is from RNAcentral.
GUGAGGAAUUUUCCGCAAUGGGCGAAAGCCUGACGGAGCAAUGCCGCGUGAAGGAUGAAGGCCUAUGGGUUGUAAACUUCUUUUCUCAGAAAAGAAUUAUGACGGUAUCUGAGGAAUAAGCAUCGGCUAACUCUGUGCCAGCAGCCGCGGUAAGACAGAGGAUGCAAGCGUUAUCCGGAAUGAUUGGGCGUAAAGCGUCUGUAGGUUGUUUAAAAAGUAUUCUGUCAAAGAUUAGGGCUUAACCCUAGAUAGGCAGAAUAAACUUUUAAGCUAGAGUUUGGUAGAGGCGGAGGGAAUUCCCGGUGGAGCGGUGAAAUGCGUAGAUAUCGGGAGGAACACCAAAGGCGAAGGCACUCUGCUGGGCCAAUACUAACACUGAGAGACGAAAGCGAGGGGAGCAAAUGGGAUUAGAAACCCCAGUAGUCC